Molecule: ribosomal RNA, 559 nt
Filed under: Penicillium spinulosum
Lineage: Eukaryota; Fungi; Ascomycota; Eurotiomycetes; Eurotiales; Aspergillaceae
Description: eukaryotic LSU rRNA
Rfam family: 5.8S ribosomal RNA (bases 185-338)
Source: RNAcentral
AAGGAUCAUUACUGAGUGAGGGCCCUCUGGGUCCAACCUCCCACCCGUGUUUAUUGUACCUUGUUGCUUCGGUGCGCCCGCCUCACGGCCGCCGGGGGGCUUCUGCCCCCGGGUCCGCGCGCACCGGAGACACUAUUGAACUCUGUCUGAAGAUUGCAGUCUGAGCAUAAACUAAAUAAGUUAAAACUUUCAACAACGGAUCUCUUGGUUCCGGCAUCGAUGAAGAACGCAGCGAAAUGCGAUAACUAAUGUGAAUUGCAGAAUUCAGUGAAUCAUCGAGUCUUUGAACGCACAUUGCGCCCCCUGGUAUUCCGGGGGGCAUGCCUGUCCGAGCGUCAUUGCUGCCCUCAAGCACGGCUUGUGUGUUGGGCUCCGUCCCCCCGGGGACGGGUCCGAAAGGCAGCGGCGGCACCGAGUCCGGUCCUCGAGCGUAUGGGGCUUUGUCACCCGCUCUGUAGGCCCGGCCGGCGCCAGCCGACAACCAAUCAUCCUUUUUUCAGGUUGACCUCGGAUCAGGUAGGGAUACCCGCUGAACUUAAGCAUAUCAAUAAGCGGAGGA